UGGGAGAGUGGCACGCCCACAUUUUUUUUACGCACUUGAAUUUAAGAAAAGCGCCCAAGACCUGCUUGUCAAGGUCUGGCCGCUCAUCGAGUGUUUGUCUGGAUUAAAAGCGUGGGAAGCACGCGUCGGACUGUCGUUGCGAACUUUGUCCAAACGCUGGAAAGUGCGCAGAGCGGCCGCACCCGCCCUCCGCUCCCCUGGUCCUUAUCUCUCAUCACCCGUUAACCACGGUGUUGAUGCUCUGUCACUCUCGGAGAUGGAAACGGUGGUUUCCACGGGACCAAGUGCCAGCUUUCCAUCCUGCGUGCAGCUUCCUGUCCCGAUAGGGCGGAAUGAAGUAUGGCACGGAGACAUACGGAUGGAAACUGGGUGAUUGAUCACUUUGUAAAUGAGAUAAUCCGGAACGAUCUCUCCAGCACCAACAUCUGAUCGUAGCUGGCGACACGGAACUCGCUCCGAAGCCGCGUGGUGUCGACUCGGCCGCUGACCGUUGAGCUUCGGCACCAGGACUUCAAGUAAACUGAGCAGAGCCCUGGUGCCGGUCAGACCCCCGGCUUCAUGAAGAUUUGCAUUGUCCGCUCACAGAAGCUGCCCAGCGGCUGGUGGGACGGGCCACUCCUCCCGUGUCAAGACCGGAAGGGGCACGCCUCCCACGGGGGGACUCCAGUGCUGGAAGUGCCUUAUUACACAGACCCCAGCAUCGGGGCGCCACGGGGGAGCCCUGAGUCUGCUACCAGGAGAGUAUUUGUAGGAGCAGAAGCUAUAAAGACACUUCAUCCUGAGGCUUUCUCUUGUAUAAAUUAGGAGAAUACUGGCAAGCUAGGUAGGCAUUGUGAGAAAUACCUCCCACGUGCUUCCUGCUUUUUUUCUCGGCUUUCCUUGGGCUGCAGCGUGCAAUCUGUUGCCUCAUUCGGUGCAUCGUAGAGGUCUUCUGCUUUGUCCUCGCUCUCGUCACCUGCCCCCUCCCCCGUGUUACUGGAACCAUAGGAUCGUUAAUUGUAGCAUGCUAGGGUUUUGUUUUUAAUCUGGCUUUGAGCGUAGCGCGAGUAAGAUGAUAGCACAAGAUAGGUUGCUGGACGAACAAAGAAGUCUGUCUGCCACACGACAGCUCUUGCGUUUGCAUGUAUGUACAGAUUUGGCACAUAUUUAAGUACAAAUAAUAACGACAGAGGCGGUGGCGUCCGGUCUUUGCCCAGCGAGGGCUGCCGUGUCAGCAGCAGUAACCAGCGUCCGUUCCGGAAGGUGCAUCUAAGACAAAGCCUGGCUUUUCAACUGCGUGCACCGGGGCCCACGUCCCUCCAGCGGGCCUUCGUCGUCUCGUGCCGUCAGCCGAGCACUUUAGAAAGCCAGGAGACGUGUGUUCUCAAUGCCUGGAUGCUACCAAACGGCAGGUGGGAAAGUCACUGUAAAUAACAUCACAAGAGGAGUGUAAUAUAUUUGUUCAGCUGUAAGAUUAUUACUUCACAGAAGCCUUAUAUCUCUGCUUCAUCUAAGACAACGAUUACCAAAAACGUUUUAACAUGCAGCGACUGUAGUAUGUUUUCCGACUAGUUACUGUUAACGGAUAGGUUGGUGUAAGCUUUACUACUGCGUUUGUGCAAUUAACAGCUUAUUACACGUUGUUACUAGCAGUGACCUCUUGUUCCGCGUAACCAAAAAGCAUGGUCUGAUUGGCUAACCUAAUAAUUGUGCCUUAGGAAUUCAUGCCCCCUCAUGGAACAUGCCUGAAUUGCACCCGCCGGCGGAGGUCGUAAGUUACAAUAACGAAACAUAGCGUCACGGUAGAGAACGCUCUCCCACGGGAACGAUGAUUUUAAAACUGCUCUUCAGUGUGGUUAUGUCUUAUUCCUGUCUGACUCCCAGAAAGGACACGGCCCCGAGAGCCACAUCUGUAGCAUUUGCACACAGCUGUCACGGGCGACGGUGCAUGGCUCCUCGUAGACCUGACCCCGCUUCUCCCAGGCUGCUGCCCCGCCCGUAGCCCAGACCGCAGCCCGCAGUUAGCGCCCCAGGACUCGCAUGGAACACUUCUCAGUAGGCUGUCCUAAGGAGAGGAGACAUUUGGUAUUCGUGUCCGCUGUCUGUGCUUAGGAAAUAGAUCCAAUAAAGCAAUAUUUUUUUGCUGGAC
Long non-coding RNA from Lynx canadensis (Canada lynx), 2128 nucleotides. RefSeq lists it as uncharacterized. Lineage: Eukaryota; Metazoa; Chordata; Mammalia; Carnivora; Felidae. The transcript is spliced from 2 exons. The record is from RefSeq and is a predicted model, not a curated record.